Molecule: small nuclear RNA, 84 nt
Filed under: Myotis lucifugus (little brown bat)
Lineage: Eukaryota; Metazoa; Chordata; Mammalia; Chiroptera; Vespertilionidae
Description: U4 spliceosomal RNA (ENSMLUG00000018701.1)
Rfam family: U4 spliceosomal RNA
About the family: U4 small nuclear RNA (U4 snRNA) is a component of the major U2-dependent spliceosome. The structure of U4 snRNA from yeast and human has been reported.
Source: RNAcentral
AGCUUUGCAGAGUGGCAAUAUUGUAGCCAAUGAGUUUUAUCCGAGGCGCAAUUAUUGCUAAUUGAAAAAAAAAAUUCAUCAAAC